Molecule: non-coding RNA, 1841 nt
Organism: Chlorocebus sabaeus (green monkey)
Lineage: Eukaryota; Metazoa; Chordata; Mammalia; Primates; Cercopithecidae
Source: RefSeq, a predicted model, not a curated record
UUUAGGUCUUGACGAAAGGGUGUUCCAAGCGAAGAGUUCCCAAAUCUUAGUAAGCUGGAAAGGUGGUUUUAUUUUUUUUCAGCAUCACUUCAUUAAUCUGAAUGUAAAACUAUAGAAAAAAUAAUGUCUAAUUUAGCUAGAAAAUAACACUCAUUUGCUUGCUAAGGUCUAGCAACAAAAGAAUGUUAAUGCACAUUACUACCUAUGACUACAACAGAGAACACAAAAUGAAAUGAACAGAUGCUGAUUUACCUUCUCUGGUGAAUCAUGCAUGGCACGAAACUGCAAUCCUGAAGCAAGCUAGACCAUCUGUGCUGUUUUCUCCAGAUGAGCCAAAUUUGAUGACAAACCAUUCUCCAUAUAUGGGAGUUUUUCUUUCUUUCUUUUUCCCCAUUUUAUAUUAGAAAGUAUAGUUUCUCCAAUAGAAGAUGCAGAAAACUAUUUUGCAUCUUCUACUAUCUUGCUAAAUAUUUUGACUCUGAGCCUGGAGAAAGCAGUCUGGAAAUUAAAUAUAACUUCAAAAAAGACAUCUUUUCAGAACUUGCAUUCCUCAAUUAUUCUCUCCAUCCAUACGCAAGCUGUUCUGGGAAAUAGGAUGACCCAGAAAGUGACAAAGCAUGAAGACUGAAGACGACAGGAAUUUUAUAUUUAGUAACAUUUUGGCUGCAUAGGCCCCUGACAGUCUGAUUCCGAGUUCCUGUUCUAGGACUCUUCACAAUUGUUCUCUGGGAACGCAGAUGGACAGUGACUCUGGGCUCUGCGUGCUCAGAAGGGGUCAUUCCCACUAGGCAGCUACCGCUGUGCUGGGCCUCACCACUAUACAGACGAUGCUACCCUAGGCUUGGCUUCAGCUUCUAAAACCUGGGACUUCAUUAUACCACUGAGGAACUGGGAAACCAGAGGCCACGGUAACUUCCACUUUUGAAAUUGUGCGAGGGUUUGUAAAUGAAAUGGGGCUACAGCAAUGUGUAUUCUUACUCUCCACUGCAUUAUAAAGCACCAUACGCACCAGCUUGUUUUUGUGUAUUUAUUUUGAACCAAGUAAGAAUAUCCAAGGUCCAGCAGUUAACUAAACCUUCUAUAUAGCUCAUCCCAGAAACACACACCACCCCAAAGUCUUUAUAGCAACCAGGCUCAACCUCAUAGGUUUGUUUUCAAGUUUUGCUUUCUUCAAACUAGACCUUCGCAGGGAAAUAUUAUAUAACUAUGGUGCUCAGUUCACCAAAAUUUCUGCUAUUCUCACUUUGGGGAAGAAAAAAAUAUUUUCAUUUUGAAAAUGAAUUUGCAUCAGAAUGCUCUUAUUAACAUGCCCAUUAACUAAUCUAAAUGUCUUUAUACACCUCAGGCAUAUGCAUAUCUUAUAGGAGGAGGAUUAGGGAAUAGCAGUUUUCUUCCUUCCCCUGCUCCAAAAGUGCUACUUAGGGAAAUACAUCCUUUGUGAUUAAAAAAAAAAAAAAAAAUUGUAUGGUACAUGUGCAAGUUCUAUUCCUGGUAAGAAUAAAACUGUGUCCAGUAAUCAGGAUAACGCAGGUGCUAACAUUUGCACACGACACCACAAUAACCACGUAGUAAAUAACAUACUCCAUUUGCACAUAGCAGACACGUGUAGAAAUCAGAAAACUAAGAACCUACUCAGUCAAUUCAAAUAUACUGGCUUUUGUGUGUAUACAUAUCUCAAAUGGAAACCUAUAAAAUAUCUGACCCACAUUUUACAUCUAAAUUUCUCUUCUUCCUUUCCCUUGUAUUUUAGCUUAAAGAUACUAAUUUUUCAGUAAUAUAAACCAUGUGAGAACACUAGGAAUUUGAACUGGAGCAAAAAAAAAAAAAAAAAAAAAAAAAAA